RNAcentral lists this ribosomal RNA (340 nucleotides) under Omorgus trilobus. RNAcentral's name for it is "partial 16S ribosomal RNA". Lineage: Eukaryota; Metazoa; Arthropoda; Insecta; Coleoptera; Trogidae. The record is from RNAcentral.
UAAUUUAAAGUCUAACCUGCCCAAUGAUUAUUUGAAUGGCUGCGGUAAUUUGACCGUACUAAGGUAGCAUAAUAAUUAGUUUUUUAAUUGAAAGCUGGUAUGAAUGGUUGGACGAGAGAAUAGCUGUCUCAAUUUAAUUUAAUUAGAAUUUUAUUUUUAAGUCAAAAAGCUUAAAUAAUUUUAAAAGACGAGAAGACCCUAUAGAGUUUUAUAUUUUUUAGUUAUUAUAGAUUUUAAGGAUUUUAUAUUUAUUUGAUUAAAAAAUAUUUUGUUGGGGUGACAAAAAAAUUGAACAAACUUUUUUUAUAUUAUAUCACUGAUUUGUGAAUAAGUGAUCCAU